This 957-nucleotide ribosomal RNA is filed under the name uncultured bacterium. RNAcentral's name for it is "bacterial SSU rRNA". It matches the Rfam family "Bacterial small subunit ribosomal RNA", at positions 61 to 1015 of the family's 1533-position model. The record is from RNAcentral.
GUCGAACGGAUUUGGGGGCUUGCUCCCAAGUUAGUGGCGAACGGGUGAGUAAUAUAUCGGAACAUAUCCGGAAGUGGGGGAUAACGUAGCGAAAGUUACGCUAAUACCGCAUAUGCCCUGAGGGGGAAAGGGGGGGAUCGCAAGACCUCUCGCUUUCGGAGUGGCCGAUAUCGGAUUAGCUAGUAGGUGAGGUAAAGGCUCACCUAGGCGACGAUCCGUAGCUGGUCUGAGAGGACGACCAGCCACACUGGAACUGAGACACGGUCCAGACUCCUACGGGAGGCAGCAGUGGGGAAUUUUGGACAAUGGGCGAAAGCCUGAUCCAGCCAUACCGCGUGAGUGAAGAAGGCCUUCGGGUUGUAAAGCUCUUUCAGCCGGAAAGAAAUUGCUUCUAUUAAUACUAGGAGUAGAUGACGGUACCGGAAGAAGAAGCACCGGCUAACUACGUGCCAGCAGCCGCGGUAAUACGUAGGGUGCGAGCGUUAAUCGGAAUUACUGGGCGUAAAGCGUGCGCAGGCGGUUUUUUAAGUCAGAUGUGAAAUCCCCGGGCUCAACCUGGGAACUGCAUUUGAAACUGGAAGACUAGAGUAUAGCAGAGGGGGGUAGAAUUCCACGUGUAGCAGUGAAAUGCGUAGAUAUGUGGAGGAAUACCAAUGGCGAAGGCAGCCCCCUGGGUUAAUACUGACGCUCAUGCACGAAAGCGUGGGGAGCAAACAGGAUUAGAUACCCUGGUAGUCCACGCCCUAAACGAUGUCAACUAGGUGUUGGGGGAGGAGACUUCCUUAGUACCGUAGCUAACGCGUGAAGUUGACCGCCUGGGGAGUACGGUCGCAAGAUUAAAACUCAAAGGAAUUGACGGGGACCCGCACAAGCGGUGGAUUAUGUGGAUUAAUUCGAUGCAACGCGAAAACCUUACCUACCCUUGACAUGUCAGAAAGAUCGUAGAGAUAUGAUUGU